CCCUCUCUACCACUCGCAAACUCUAAAUAUUAGAGUUCUAUUUUCUUAAGUAUAUCACCUAUAUAGUAAUAAAGCCCUGCCCUAUUUUAAGUGUUUUAACCCUUGAUCACUGAUACCCUGUCCGACUGACGUAGGACCCCGUAACGUAUGUCAAGGCUCUGCCUAAAUUCGUUGGGGUUCUGUCUCGUGACGUAGGGAUAAAGUAGAUUGGGUCACUAUACUUAAUGUGAGUGCAUUAUAUAUUUUAUUAAAUAAUCCAGGAGUUGUACCCAAAAUAUAACAACCCUCCCGAAUAUUUUUCUGACACCCUACACUUCCUAAGAUACACCCCGUAUGUGAAAACCGAGCCCGAAAUACAAUAUAUUAUUAAAAAUAAUUAAAAACAAGAAAAUAUAAGUUUAGGCGGGCCGCGUAAAGAUCCUCGAUUAGUUAACGCGGGCCGCGAGAGGUUAGAAAGGUGGCGCAGCCCUGGGCCGCCACGUGGCAUAACACCCGUCAAGCCUACACAUCAACUCAGCAUAGCUAUACGUUGACUUUGGGUCAACGCGGGCCGCGUAAGACCUGCUCUCAUUUGACACGGGCCGCGAGAGAGUCCAGUAUCAGCACUAUAUAAAGGAGCCAUCGGGUUCAACUAGAAUUCGUUCAUUCUUCGAUUCUCAAUCUCAAAUUCUGAUAGUAGAGUUAUUAUACCCCUAAUUAGCGAAGCUCUGCCUCGUUGUAAGUAUCAUAACCCCUGGAUACGUAUUAGAUACUCUGCCCGAUUGAUCUAAGGUUCCGUAACGGCUGUCGUGGUUCUGCCCGACGUAGUCGUUGGAAUGCCGUCUCGGGGAGGAUUAUAACCAGGGAAUCACAAAGGAAAGCCCUAUAAUAGCAAUGUAACUUAGUAUGAAGCCAAUAAAAGCCAGCUGGAGAGCACUGAAGGCUUGGAAAAGUGGCUAUAAAGUUACCUAAAAUAAAAUAGAUGUUUUUAUUAAAUAAAAUAGGAUUUAUUCCUAUGAAAAUGUAUGUACUGCAAAACUUGGGUUUUAUCCCAUGUGUUUAAUAUUAUGAAAAUAUGGUGGUUUUACUCUGAU
This 1073-nucleotide long non-coding RNA is filed under the name Helianthus annuus (common sunflower). Its description in RNAcentral is "sRNA HanXRQr2_Chr16g0732421". The record is from RNAcentral. Lineage: Eukaryota; Viridiplantae; Streptophyta; Magnoliopsida; Asterales; Asteraceae.